AGUGGGGAAUAUUGGACAAUGGGCGCAAGCCUGAUCCAGCCAUGCCGCGUGGGUGAAGAAGGCCUUCGGGUUGUAAAGCCCUUUUGUCCGGAAAGAAAAGCUCCUGAUUAAUACUCGGGAGUCAUGACGGUACCGGAAGAAUAAGCACCGGCUAACUUCGUGCCAGCAGCCGCGGUAAUACGAAGGGUGCAAGCGUUACUCGGAAUUACUGGGCGUAAAGCGUGCGUAGGUGGUUCGUUAAGUCUGAUGUGAAAGCCCUGGGCUCAACCUGGGAAUUGCAUUGGAUACUGGCGGGCUAGAGUGCGGUAGAGGGUAGUGGAAUUCCUGGUGUAGCAGUGAAAUGCGUAGAGAUCAGGAGGAACAUCCGUGGCGAAGGCGACUGCCUGGACCAGCACUGACACUGAGGCACGAAAGCGUGGGGAGCAAA
RNAcentral lists this ribosomal RNA (427 nucleotides) under uncultured Lysobacteraceae bacterium. RNAcentral describes it as "bacterial SSU rRNA". It matches the Rfam family "Bacterial small subunit ribosomal RNA", at positions 353 to 772 of the family's 1533-position model. The record is from RNAcentral. Lineage: Bacteria; Pseudomonadati; Pseudomonadota; Gammaproteobacteria; Lysobacterales; Lysobacteraceae.